GACUUAAGCAUAUCAAUAAGCGGAGGAAAAGAAACCAACAGGGAUUGCCCUAGUAACGGCGAGUGAAGCGGCAACAGCUCAAAUUUGAAAUCUGGCCUCGGCCCGAGUUGUAAUUUGCAGAGGAUGCUUUUGGCGCGGUGCCUUCCGAGUACCCUGGAACGGGACGCCACAGAGGGUGAGAGCCCCGUAUGGUCGGACACCAAGCCUGUGUAAAGCUCCUUCGACGAGUCGAGUAGUUUGGGAAUGCUGCUCAAAAUGGGAGGUAAAUCUCUUCUAAAGCUAAAUAUUGGCCAGAGACCGAUAGCGCACAAGUAGAGUGAUCGAAAGAUGAAAAGCACCUUGAAAAGGGGGUUAAACAGUACGUGAAAUUGUUGAAAGGGAAGGGCUCGUGACCAGACUUGUGCCAGGCGGCUCAUCCGGCGUUCUCGCCGGUGCACUCCGCCUGGCUCAGGCCAGCAUCGGUUCUUGCCGGGGGAUAAGAGCUUCAGGAACGUGGCCUCCUUCGGGGGGUGUUAUAGCCUGUUGCACGAUGCCCUGGCGGGGACCGAGGUUCGCGCUCCGCAAGGAUGCUGGCGUAAUGGUCACCAACCACCCGUCUUGAAACACGGACCAAGGAGUCGUCCAUCAGAGCGAGCGUUUGGGUGUAAAACCCGCACGCGUAAUGAAAGUGAACGCAGGUGAGAGCUUCGGCGCAUCAUCGACCGAUCCUGAUGUAUUCGGAUGGAUUUGAGUAAGAGUUUUGCUGGACGGACCCGAAAGACAGUGAACUAUGCUUGUAUAGGGUGAAGCCAGAGGAAACUCUGGUGGAGGCUCGCAGCGGUUCUGACGUGCAAAUCGAUCGUCAAAUAUGAGCAUGGGGGCGAAAGACUAAUCGAACGUCUUAUCUGGUUACCGCCGAAGUUCCCUCCCA
RNAcentral lists this ribosomal RNA (910 nucleotides) under Ranulospora alnii. Its description in RNAcentral is "eukaryotic LSU rRNA". It matches the Rfam family "Eukaryotic large subunit ribosomal RNA", at positions 31 to 975 of the family's 3401-position model. The record is from RNAcentral. Lineage: Eukaryota; Fungi; Ascomycota; Sordariomycetes; Diaporthales; Sydowiellaceae.